This 613-nucleotide ribosomal RNA is filed under the name uncultured Pseudomonas sp. Its description in RNAcentral is "bacterial SSU rRNA". It matches the Rfam family "Bacterial small subunit ribosomal RNA", at positions 935 to 1533 of the family's 1533-position model. The record is from RNAcentral. Lineage: Bacteria; Pseudomonadati; Pseudomonadota; Gammaproteobacteria; Pseudomonadales; Pseudomonadaceae.
GAGCAUGUGGUUUAAUUCGAAGCAACGCGAAGAACCUUACCUGGCCUUGACAUGUCCGGAAUCUUGCAGAGAUGCGAGAGUGCCUUCGGGAAUCGGAACACAGGUGCUGCAUGGCUGUCGUCAGCUCGUGUCGUGAGAUGUUGGGUUAAGUCCCGUAACGAGCGCAACCCUUGUCCUUAGUUACCAGCACCUCGGGUGGGCACUCUAAGGAGACUGCCGGUGACAAACCGGAGGAAGGUGGGGAUGACGUCAAGUCAUUAUGGCCCUUACGGCCAGGGCUACACACGUGCUACAAUGGUCGGUACAGAGGGUUGCCAAGCCGCGAGGUGGAGCUAAUCCCAUAAAACCGAUCGUAGUCCGGAUCGCAGUCUGCAACUCGACUGCGUGAAGUCGGAAUCGCUAGUAAUCGUGAAUCAGAAUGUCACGGUGAAUACGUUCCCGGGCCUUGUACACACCGCCCGUCACACCAUGGGAGUGGGUUGCUCCAGAAGUAGCUAGUCUAACCGCAAGGGGGACGGUUACCACGGAGUGAUUCAUGACUGGGGUGAAGUCGUAACAAGGUAGCCGUAGGGGAACCUGCGGCUGGAUCACCUCCUUAAGCUUGGAUCCCGGG